Molecule: ribosomal RNA, 585 nt
Filed under: uncultured bacterium
Lineage: Bacteria
Description: partial 16S ribosomal RNA
Rfam family: Bacterial small subunit ribosomal RNA
Source: RNAcentral
UGGGGAAUUUUGGACAAUGGGCGAAAGCCUGAUCCAGCAAUGCCGCGUGUGUGAAGAAGGCCUUCGGGUUGUAAAGCACUUUUGUCCGGAAAGAAAUCCUUGGCCCUAAUACAGUCGGGGGAUGACGGUACCGGAAGAAUAAGCACCGGCUAACUACGUGCCAGCAGCCGCGGUAAUACGUAGGGUGCAAGCGUUAAUCGGAAUUACUGGGCGUAAAGCGUGCGCAGGCGGUUUGCUAAGACCGAUGUGAAAUCCCCGGGCUCAACCUGGGAACUGCAUUGGUGACUGGCAGGCUAGAGUAUGGCAGAGGGGGGUAGAAUUCCACGUGUAGCAGUGAAAUGCGUAGAGAUGUGGAGGAAUACCGAUGGCGAAGGCAGCCCCCUGGGCCAAUACUGACGCUCAUGCACGAAAGCGUGGGGAGCAAACAGGAUUAGAUACCCUGGUAGUCCACGCCCUAAACGAUGUCAACUAGUUGUUGGGGAUUCAUUUCCUUAGUAACGUAGCUAACGCGUGAAGUUGACCGCCUGGGGAGUACGGUCGCAAGAUUAAAACUCAAAGGAAUUGACGGGGUCAUAGCUGUUUCCU